RNAcentral lists this transfer RNA (85 nucleotides) under Gammaproteobacteria bacterium. RNAcentral describes it as "tRNA-Tyr". It matches the Rfam family "tRNA". From Rfam's summary of the family: Transfer RNA (tRNA) molecules are approximately 80 nucleotides in length. Their secondary structure includes four short double-helical elements and three loops (D, anti-codon, and T loops). Lineage: Bacteria; Pseudomonadati; Pseudomonadota; Gammaproteobacteria. RNAcentral also lists the same sequence under 4 other names. The record is from RNAcentral.
GGAGGGGUACCCAAGCGGUCAACGGGGGCAGACUGUAAAUCUGCUGGCUCAGCCUUCGCAGGUUCGAAUCCUGCCCCCUCCACCA